RNAcentral lists this ribosomal RNA (427 nucleotides) under uncultured bacterium. Its description in RNAcentral is "bacterial SSU rRNA". It matches the Rfam family "Bacterial small subunit ribosomal RNA", at positions 356 to 774 of the family's 1533-position model. The record is from RNAcentral.
CGAGAAUCAUUCGCAAUGGGCGCAAGCCUGACGGUGCGACGUCGCGUGGAGGAUGAAGGUCUUCGGAUUGUAAACUCCUGUCAUGAGGGAUAAAUGGCCAGGGCACGAAUAGUGCCUUGGAAUGAUAGUACCUCAGGAGGAAGAGACGGCUAACUCUGUGCCAGCAGCCGCGGUAAUACAGAGGUCUCGAGCGUUGUUCGGAUUUACUGGGCGUAAAGGGAGCGUAGGCGGUUCGGUGUGUUGAAUGUGAAAUCCCACAACUCAACUGUGGAAUGGCAUUCAAAACUACCGGGCUAGAGUACUGGAGAGGAGAGCGGAAUUCUUGGUGUAGCGGUGAAAUGCGUAGAUAUCAAGAGGAACACCGGUGGCGAAGGCGGCUCUCUGGACAGAUACUGACGCUGAGGCUCUAAAGUUAGGGGAGCAAACA